GAGGAAUAUUGGUCAAUGGGCGCAAGCCUGAACCAGCCAUGUCGCGUGCAGGAAGACUGCCCUAUGGGUUGUAAACUGCUUUUAUAGUAGAAGAAACACAUCUACGCGUAGAUGUCUGCCAGUAUACUAUGAAUAAGCAUCGGCUAACUCCGUGCCAGCAGCCGCGGUAAUACGGAGGAUGCAAGCGUUAUCCGGAUUUAUUGGGUUUAAAGGGUGCGUAGGCGGGACUGUAAGUCAGGGGUGAAAUACUGCAGCUUAACUGUAGCAUUGCCUUUGAAACUGCCGUUCUUGAGUACAGUUGAGGUAGGCGGAAUGUGGUGUGUAGCGGUGAAAUGCAUAGAUAUACCACAGAACGCCGAUUGCGAAGGCAGCUUACUAAGCUGUUACUGACGCUGAGGCACGAAAGCGUGGGGAUCAAAC
RNAcentral lists this ribosomal RNA (420 nucleotides) under uncultured bacterium. Its description in RNAcentral is "bacterial SSU rRNA". It matches the Rfam family "Bacterial small subunit ribosomal RNA", at positions 356 to 773 of the family's 1533-position model. The record is from RNAcentral.